Molecule: long non-coding RNA, 1036 nt
Organism: Sapajus apella (tufted capuchin)
Lineage: Eukaryota; Metazoa; Chordata; Mammalia; Primates; Cebidae
Exons: 2
Source: RefSeq, a predicted model, not a curated record
CUCCUGGGUUCAACUGAUUCUCCUGCCUCAGCCUCCCAAAGUGCUGGGAUUACAGGCAUGAGCCAGUAUGCCCAGCCUAAACCUUGGCAUUCUGAAGAGUCGGAAACCCUUCCUUGGCUUAGAUCCCAGAACUCUGAAACUUGGCUGUUAUCUUAGGAUACUGCUUUCACUGCAGCCCUCUCAAGGUGAUUUUUUUCUCCCACAGUCCUAUUACUGUUCCUGGAGAUGGGGUAGAUGAUAUUCUUGUUCCUCAUUACUGCUUCCAGACAUGUCUCCUAUCUUUUAAAACUCUCAGUUUUAAAAACUCCCAUACCAUCAAAUUAUAUCUCUUCUCUUCAUUGCUAUCAUCUACAAAAUCUACAAACCCGUGGGUCAUUCCCUCUCAUUUCUCAGUAAGUUUAGCUCGUUACUCAUUUCAUUUCCUGCAACACUACUCCUGAUUUAAUUCUUGGCAAUUUUUAAUUACACACAUGGAUAAUCCUUCCAACAUCUGACUACAGGUUCUUUGAAUAGUUUUCCACUGAUCUUGUUCUCUAUUUCCAUCCAUUCACUCUCACAGUCAUACCUUAGAUCUGUCUUAUUAUUAGUAAAAGCUGUAACCCCUCCAUAAUCUAUCUCAUCUGACCACCACUGUCUAUCUUCCAGACAUCUGGUAACUUAACUCCAGCACUCCUUUCACAACCACCUUUUCAUUGUCCCUAAUCUCCAAGUUCCUUCUCUUCCCAUCAUAAUCAACUUAAAUCUCAGGAGCAAUCAUUAUAAUCAUGCAAAUUGCAUGUAUGUUUAACUUAGUUUACCCCUUUUUGUCACACUCACUUUGCAAAAUCACAACUUUAAAGCCAGCUCUUUGCCUACUUUGUACCUACUUCUGUGCAGCAACUAUGCUGAAUAGUAUCUCUUUAAAUUCUUAUCCAUAACUUUCAGGCCUUUAAUGCUGCCUGACAAUCAUAUUUCCCUAUUUACCUUCCCAUUCUCCUAGAUCAGGAGUCAGCCAACUUUUUCUGUAAAGGGCCAGAUAAACAUUUUUGGCAUUGCA